GCCUAGCCACAACAUACAAUUAAAUUACCAAUUGUUCGCCAAACAACUACGAGUCCCACUUAAAACUUAAAAGACUUGACGGUGCUUCAUCACAGCCUAGAGGAGCCUGUCUAAUAACCGACAAUCCACGAUUAACCCUACCCCUUCUCGCCUCACAGUCUAUAUACCGCCGUCGCCAGCUUACCUUGUAAAAGAAAUAAAGUGAGCUAAACAGUACUACACUAAAACGACAGGUCGAGGUGUAACCCAUGAAGGGGCCUAAGAUGGGCUACAUUCUCCAACCGAGAACACGAAUAACACUAUGAAAUUAGUGAUUGAAGGCGGAUUUAGCAGUAAGAUAAGAAUAAAACACCUAACUGAACAUAACGCAAUGAAGUGCGUACACACCGCCCGUCACCCCUGUCACCAU
RNAcentral lists this ribosomal RNA (409 nucleotides) under Ovophis monticola. RNAcentral's name for it is "partial 12S small subunit ribosomal RNA". The record is from RNAcentral. Lineage: Eukaryota; Metazoa; Chordata; Lepidosauria; Squamata; Viperidae.